This 318-nucleotide unclassified non-coding RNA is filed under the name plant metagenome. RNAcentral's name for it is "partial contains 5.8S ribosomal RNA, internal transcribed spacer 2, and large subunit ribosomal RNA". The stretch from base 1 to 104 matches the Rfam family "5.8S ribosomal RNA", at positions 51 to 154 of the family's 154-position model. The record is from RNAcentral.
AAAUGCGAUAAGUAAUGUGAAUUGCAGAAUUCAGUGAAUCAUCGAAUCUUUGAACGCACAUUGCGCCCGCCAGUAUUCUGGCGGGCAUGCCUGUUCGAGCGUCAUUACAACCCUCAGGCCCCCGGGCCUGGCGUUGGGGAUCGGCGGAAGCCCCCUGCGGGCACAACGCCGUCCCCCAAAUACAGUGGCGGUCCCGCCGCAGCUUCCAUUGCGUAGUAGCUAACACCUCGCAACUGGAGAGCGGCGCGGCCACGCCGUAAAACACCCAACUUCUGAAUGUUGACCUCGAAUCAGGUAGGAAUACCCGCUGAACUUAAG